AGAGACGAGUCAGAGUUUGAUCCUGGCUCAGGAUGAACGCUAGCGGCAGGCCUAACACAUGCAAGUCGAGGGGCAGCGGGAAAGUAGCUUGCUACUUUUGCCGGCGACCGGCGCACGGGUGCGUAACGCGUAUGUAACCUACCUUAAACAGGGGCAUAACACUGAGAAAUUGGUACUAAUUCCCCAUAAUACUUUGAGAGGCAUCUUCUGAAGUUGAAAGUUCCGGCGGUUUAAGAUGGACAUGCGUUGUAUUAGUUAGUUGGUGAGGUAACGGCUCACCAAGACGACGAUACAUAGGGGGACUGAGAGGUUAACCCCCCACAUUGGUACUGAGACACGGACCAA
This 345-nucleotide ribosomal RNA is filed under the name uncultured bacterium. Its description in RNAcentral is "bacterial SSU rRNA". It matches the Rfam family "Bacterial small subunit ribosomal RNA", at positions 1 to 334 of the family's 1533-position model. The record is from RNAcentral.